Molecule: long non-coding RNA, 830 nt
Filed under: Gossypium barbadense (sea-island cotton)
Lineage: Eukaryota; Viridiplantae; Streptophyta; Magnoliopsida; Malvales; Malvaceae
Description: long non-coding RNA (GBAR_LNC010068)
Source: RNAcentral
GUUGCUGGUGCUUCAGCUUGAAGUGUUGGGACAGGGGAGCUGUUAUAUUUCAAAAAUCUAACAGCAUAUGCCUGAAUAGCAAACUCAUUGUUCUUUCCACGGUGCUCCUGCUGCUCCUUAUGGAUAUCCUGCUCCAGAACAUGUUGCACAUGAAGAGAAGAUAGAAAGAAAAAUGUAGCAUCAAUAUGAUGGAAGUAAUUGGAAGUUUUCGUAAGAGAAAGGAAAACCUUUUUAAUAUUAAAAAAGAUCAAAUUUUAUAUAUUAGUAUUAAAUAUAUUUUACAAUUAAAACUAACAGUUAAUGAUUAAAAAUAAGAAAAGGCCAAGCCUGGGCUGAAAAGUUCUUGCCCAAGGCUCAGAUUUUAUAGUAGACCUAAGUUAUUGUUUUUGAAUUGUAACCAUCCAAGACUAAUCCAUAUAUAUACCUAAGUUCUCAAUUACAUCUUCUCUUCCUCCCCAGUUCAAGUAAAAUUACCUCCAUACCAUAUAUCUAAGAACAGAACUUAUAAGCAGAUAACCAACAUGAUUAACAUACAAAACCAGUUAUUAAAAGGAAUAUAGAAAAAGCUAGCACCAUGAUUAAGUAAGAAAUUCAAACAUAAAAAAUUAUCAUGACAGUCAUCACAAGAGGCAUGCAUAAAUUACUUGGAAAUAAAGAUAAAAAGGUCCAACAAUAUAACCAAUACCAUAUCCAGUUCUGCAUUCUUGUUCUCAGUAACUUCAUUGGCCCUUGACCCCACCAAAUCAUGACCACAGUUGUUUGGACCAAGACUUCUAUCCUUACUAUUUCGAAGCAAUUCUGCUGAAUGCCAAAACUCCAUGACAGCAUUA